CAUUGACCCUUCGGGUGAUUUGUUGGGCGUCGAGCGGCGGACGGGUGAGUAAUGCCUGGGAAAUUGCCCUGAUGUGGGGGAUAACCAUUGGAAACGAUGGCUAAUACCGCAUAACGUCUACGGACCAAAGAGGGGGACCUUCGGGCCUCUCGCUUCAGGAUAUGCCCAGGUGGGAUUAGCUAGUUGGUGAGGUAAUGGCUCACCAAGGCGACGAUCCCUAGCUGGUCUGAGAGGAUGAUCAGCCACACUGGAACUGAGACACGGUCCAGACUCCUACGGGAGGCAGCAGUGGGGAAUAUUGCACAAUGGGCGCAAGCCUGAUGCAGCCAUGCCGCGUGUAUGAAGAAGGCCUUCGGGUUGUAAAGUACUUUCAGUCGUGAGGAAGGCGUUGAAGUUAAUAGCUUCAUCGUUUGACGUUAGCGACAGAAGAAGCACCGGCUAACUCCGUGCCAGCAGCCGCGGUAAUACGGAGGGUGCGAGCGUUAAUCGGAAUUACUGGGCGUAAAGCGCAUGCAGGUGGUUUGUUAAGUCAGAUGUGAAAGCCCGGGGCUCAACCUCGGAACCGCAUUUGAAACUGGCAGGCUAGAGUACUGUAGAGGGGGGUAGAAUUUCAGGUGUAGCGGUGAAAUGCGUAGAGAUCUGAAGGAAUACCAGUGGCGAAGGCGGCCCCCUGGACAGAUACUGACACUCAGAUGCGAAAGCGUGGGGAGCAAACAGGAUUAGAUACCCUGGUAGUCCACGCCGUAAACGAUGUCUACUUGGAGGUUGUGGCCUUGAGCCGUGGCUUUCGGAGCUAACGCGUUAAGUAGACCGCCUGGGGAGUACGGUCGCAAGAUUAAAACUCAAAUGAAUUGACGGGGGCCCGCACAAGCGGUGGAGCAUGUGGUUUAAUUCGAUGCAACGCGAAGAACCUUACCUACUCUUGACAUCCAGAGAACUUAGCAGAGAUGCUUUGGUGCCUUCGGGAACUCUGAGACAGGUGCUGCAUGGCUGUCGUCAGCUCGUGU
RNAcentral lists this ribosomal RNA (1007 nucleotides) under Vibrio breoganii. RNAcentral's name for it is "bacterial SSU rRNA". It matches the Rfam family "Bacterial small subunit ribosomal RNA", at positions 69 to 1065 of the family's 1533-position model. Lineage: Bacteria; Pseudomonadati; Pseudomonadota; Gammaproteobacteria; Vibrionales; Vibrionaceae. The record is from RNAcentral.